AACUGCGAGUGAAGCGGGAAAAGCUCAAAUUUAAAAUCUGGCGGUCUUUGGCCGUCCGAGUUGUAACUUAGAGAAGCGUCUUCCGCUCUGGACCGUGCACAAGUCUCCUGGAAUGGAGCGUCAUAGAGGGUGAGAAUCCCGUCUUUGGCACGGACGCCCGGUGCUUCUGCGAUGCGCUCUCGAAGAGUCGAGUUGUUUGGGAAUGCAGCUCAAAAUGGGUGGUGAACUCCAUCUAAAGCUAAAUAUUGGCGAGAGACCGAUAGCGAACAAGUACCGUGAGGGAAAGAUGAAAAGCACUUUGGAAAGAGAGUGAAACAGUACGUGAAAUUGUUGAAAGGGAAACGCUUGAAGUCAGUCGCGUCGACCGAGACUCAGCCUCGCCUCGGCUUGGUGUACUUCUCGGCACGACGGGUCAGCGUCGAUUUCGCUCCUCGGAUAAUGGCAAGGGAAAGGUGGCACCUUUACGGGUGUGUUAUAGUCUCCUGUCGGAUGCGAGGGGUGGGAUCGAGGAACUCAGCGCGCACCUCGGUGUCGGGGCUUCU
Molecule: ribosomal RNA, 542 nt
Filed under: Lactarius sp. HL-2018o
Lineage: Eukaryota; Fungi; Basidiomycota; Agaricomycetes; Russulales; Russulaceae
Description: LSU rRNA
Rfam family: Eukaryotic large subunit ribosomal RNA
Source: RNAcentral